RNAcentral lists this ribosomal RNA (253 nucleotides) under uncultured bacterium. Its description in RNAcentral is "partial 16S ribosomal RNA". It matches the Rfam family "Bacterial small subunit ribosomal RNA", at positions 524 to 776 of the family's 1533-position model. The record is from RNAcentral.
UACGGGGGGGGCAAGCGUUGUUCGGAAUUACUGGGCGUAAAGGGCUCGUAGGCGGCCAACUAAGUCAGACGUGAAAUCCCUCGGCUUAGCCGGGGAACUGCGUCUGAUACUGGAUGGCUUGAGAUUGGGAGAGGGAUGCGGAAUUCCAGGUGUAGCGGUGAAAUGCGUAGAUAUCUGGAGGAACACCGGUGGCGAAGGCGGCAUCCUGGACCAACACUGACGCUGAGGAGCGAAAGCUAGGGGAGCAAACGGG